GAUGAACGCUGGCGGCGUGCCUAAUACAUGCAAGUCGAGCGAACGGACGAGAAGCUUGCUUCUCUGAUGUUAGCGGCGGACGGGUGAGUAACACGUGGAUAACCUACCUAUAAGACUGGGAUAACUUCGGGAAACCGGAGCUAAUACCGGAUGAUAUUUUGAACCGCAUUGUUCUAAAGUGUAUGACGGUCUUUCUGUCACUUAUUGAUGGUUCCGCUCUGCAUUAGCUAGUUGGUAAGGUAACGGCUUACCAAGGCAACGAUGCAUAGCCGACCUGAGAGGGAGAUCGGCCAAACUGGAACUGAGACACGGACAAGACUCCUACGGGAGGCAGCAGAAGGGAAUCUUACGCAAUGGGCGAAAGCAUGACGGAGCAACGCCGAGUGAGUGAUGAAGGUCUAAGGAUCGGAAAACUCUGUUAUUAGGGAAGAAAAUAUGUGUAAGUAACUGUGCACAUCGUGACGGUACCGAAUCAGAAAGCCACGGCUAACUACGUG
This 497-nucleotide ribosomal RNA is filed under the name uncultured bacterium. Its description in RNAcentral is "partial 16S ribosomal RNA". It matches the Rfam family "Bacterial small subunit ribosomal RNA", at positions 28 to 507 of the family's 1533-position model. The record is from RNAcentral.